This 585-nucleotide ribosomal RNA is filed under the name Zygosaccharomyces sp. NRRL YB-4810. Its description in RNAcentral is "LSU rRNA". It matches the Rfam family "Eukaryotic large subunit ribosomal RNA", at positions 62 to 648 of the family's 3401-position model. Lineage: Eukaryota; Fungi; Ascomycota; Saccharomycetes; Saccharomycetales; Saccharomycetaceae. The record is from RNAcentral. RNAcentral also lists the same sequence under 1 other name.
AAACCAACCGGGAUUGCCUUAGUAACGGCGAGUGAAGCGGCAAAAGCUCAAAUUUGAAAUCUGGUACCAUUCGGUGCCCGAGUUGUAAUUUGUAGAAGGCGACUCUGGGGCUGGGACCUUGUCUAUGUUCCUUGGAACAGGACGUCAUAGAGGGUGAGAAUCCCGUGUGGCGAGGCUCCCAGUUCUUUGUAGAGUGCUUUCGAAGAGUCGAGUUGUUUGGGAAUGCAGCUCUAAGUGGGUGGUAAAUUCCAUCUAAAGCUAAAUAUUGGCGAGAGACCGAUAGCGAACAAGUACAGUGAUGGAAAGAUGAAAAGAACUUUGAAAAGAGAGUGAAAAAGUACGUGAAAUUGUUGAAAGGGAAGGGCAUUUGAUCAGACAUGGUGUUUUGCGCCCCUUACUCCUCGUGGGUGAGGGAAUCUCGCAGCUCACUGGGCCAGCAUCAGUUUUGGCGGCAGGAUAAAUCUCUGGGAAUGUAGCUCUGCUCUUCGGGGUGGAGAGUUUAUAGCCCAGGGGAAUACUGCCAGCCGGGACUGAGGAAUGCGACUUUUUUUAGUCAAGGAUGCUGGCAUAAUGGUUAUAUGCCGC